UGUAAGCGUAUACCAAAGUUGUUGCAGUUAAAACGCUCGUAGUCGGAAUUUGGCAGUUCCGGAUGUGUGCACGUCGUGUGCGCACUUCGCGGGGAUUGCUUUUGUGGUCUUGCGUAGGAUGAGGCACUUUUAUUAGUGAACGUCCGCACGCUGCCACUUUUUACUGUGAGAAAAUCAGAGUGCUCAAAGCAGGCAUUUGCCGUGAAUGUAUUAGCAUGGAAUAAUAGAAUAGGACUCGGUUCUAUUUUGUUGGUUUGUUGGGACUGAGUAAUGAUUAAGAGGGACAGUUGGGGGCAUUUGUAUUUCGGCGCUAGAGGUGAAAUUCUUAGAUUGCCGAAAGACAAACUGCUGCGAAAGCGUCUGCCAAGGAUGUUUUCAUUGA
Molecule: ribosomal RNA, 382 nt
Filed under: uncultured eukaryote
Lineage: Eukaryota
Description: partial 18S ribosomal RNA
Rfam family: Eukaryotic small subunit ribosomal RNA
Source: RNAcentral